CCUACGGGAGGCAGCAGUAGGGAAUCUUCCACAAUGGACGAAAGUCUGAUGGAGCAACGCCGCGUGAAGGUCAGUGCCCUAUGGGCGUUAAACUUCUUUUGUGCGGGAGCAAUAAUGGUCACGUGUGGCCAGACGAGAGUACCGUACGAAUAAGCAUCGGCUAACUCCGUGCCAGCAGCCGCGGUAAUACGGGGGAUGCAAGCGUUAUCCGGAGUUAUUGGGUUUAAAGGGUGCGUAGGCUGUGAGGUAAGUCAGCGGUGAAAUGCCCCCGCUCAACGGGGUGAAGUGCCAUUGAUACUGCCUUGCUGGAAUGCGGAUGCCGUGGGAGGAAUGUGUGGUGUAGCGGUGAAAUGCAUAGAUAUCACACAGAACACCGAUUGCGAAGGCAGCUCACUGGACUGCAACUGACACUGAUGCUCGAAAGUGUGGGUAGCAAACAGGAUUAGAUACCCUUGUAGUC
This 460-nucleotide ribosomal RNA is filed under the name uncultured bacterium. RNAcentral's name for it is "partial 16S ribosomal RNA". It matches the Rfam family "Bacterial small subunit ribosomal RNA", at positions 338 to 795 of the family's 1533-position model. The record is from RNAcentral.